CUAGCAUAUCAAUAAGCGGAGGAAAAGAAACCAACAGGGAUUGCCUCAGUAACGGCGAGUGAAGCGGCAACAGCUCAAAUUUGAAAUCUGGCCCCAGGCCCGAGUUGUAAUUUGCAGAGGAUGUUUCUGGCGAGGUGCCUUCCGAGUUCCCUGGAACGGGACGCCACAGAGGGUGAGAGCCCCGUCCGGUCGUGCGCUAAGCCUAUGUGAAACUCCUUCGACGAGUCGAGUAGUUUGGGAAUGCUGCUCUAAAUGGGAGGUAUACGUCUUCUAAAGCUAAAUACCGGCCAGAGACCGAUAGCGCACAAGUAGAGUGAUCGAAAGAUGAAAAGCACUUUGAAAAGAGGGUUAAAAAGUACGUGAAAUUGUUGAAAGGGAAGCGUUUAUGACCAGACUUGGGCCCGGUCAAUCAUCCAGCGUUGUCGCUGGUGCACUUGGCCGGCCCAGGCCAGCAUCAGUUCGCCCCGGGGGAUAAAGGCUUCGGGAACGUGGCUCCCUCGGGAGUGUUAUAGCCCGUUGCGCAAUAUCCUGGGGCGGACUGAGGUUCGCGCAUCUGCAAGGAUGCUGGCGUAAUGGUCAUCAACGACCCGUCUUGAAACACGGACCAAGGAGUCGUCUUCGUAUGCGAGUGUUCGGGUGUCAAACCCCUACGCGUAAUGAAAGUGAACGUAGGUGAGAGCUUCGGCGCAUCACCGACCGAUCCUGAUGUUCUCGGAUGGAUUUGAGUAAGAGCAUACGGGGCCGGACCCGAAAGAAGGUGAACUAUGCCUGUAUAGGGUGAAGCCAGAGGAAACUCUGGUGGAGGCUCGCAGCGGUUCUGACGUGCAAAUCGAUCGUCAAAUAUGGGCAUGGGGGCGAAAGACUAAUCGAACCUUCUAGUAGCUGGUUUCCGCGA
RNAcentral lists this ribosomal RNA (895 nucleotides) under Stromatonectria caraganae. RNAcentral describes it as "LSU rRNA". It matches the Rfam family "Eukaryotic large subunit ribosomal RNA", at positions 34 to 963 of the family's 3401-position model. Lineage: Eukaryota; Fungi; Ascomycota; Sordariomycetes; Hypocreales; Bionectriaceae. The record is from RNAcentral.